Molecule: ribosomal RNA, 462 nt
Filed under: uncultured bacterium
Lineage: Bacteria
Description: partial 16S ribosomal RNA
Rfam family: Bacterial small subunit ribosomal RNA
Source: RNAcentral
GACGAACGCUGGCGGCGUGCUUAACACAUGCAAGUCGAGCGGAAAGGCCCUUCGGGGUACUCGAGCGGCGAACGGGUGAGUAACACGUGAGUAACCUGCCCCAGACUUUGGGAUAACCCUCGGAAACGGGGGCUAAUACCGGAUACGACACAGCUUCGCAUGGGGUCUGUGUGGAAAGUUUUUCGGUUUGGGAUGGGCUCGCGGCCUAUCAGCUUGUUGGUGGGGUGAUGGCCUACCAAGGCGACGACGGGUAGCCGGCCUGAGAGGGCGACCGGCCACACUGGGACUGAGACACGGCCCAGACUCCUACGGGAGGCAGCAGUGGGGAAUAUUGCACCAUGGGCGGAAGCCUGAUGCAGCGACGCCGCGUGAGGGAUGACGGCCUUCGGGUUGUAAACCUCUUUCAGCAGGGACGAAGCGUAAGUGACGGUACCUGCAGAAGAAGCGCCGGCCAACUACGUG